Molecule: ribosomal RNA, 253 nt
Filed under: uncultured bacterium
Lineage: Bacteria
Description: partial 16S ribosomal RNA
Rfam family: Bacterial small subunit ribosomal RNA
Source: RNAcentral
UACGUAGGGGGCAAGCGUUGUCCGGAAUCAUUGGGCGUAAAGCGCGUGUAGGCGGCCAAGUAAGUCCGUUCUGAAAGCCCGGGGCUCAACCCCGGGAGGCGGAUGGAUACUGCUUGGCUCGAGUCCGGAAGAGGCGAGUGGAAUUCCCGGUGUAGCGGUGAAAUGCGCAGAUAUCGGGAGGAACACCAAUGGCGAAGGCAGCUCGCUGGGACGGUACUGACGCUGAGACGCGAAAGCGUGGGGAGCAAACAGG